This 72-nucleotide transfer RNA is filed under the name Pangasianodon hypophthalmus (striped catfish). It matches the Rfam family "tRNA". Rfam says of the family: Transfer RNA (tRNA) molecules are approximately 80 nucleotides in length. Their secondary structure includes four short double-helical elements and three loops (D, anti-codon, and T loops). The record is from Rfam by way of RNAcentral. Lineage: Eukaryota; Metazoa; Chordata; Actinopteri; Siluriformes; Pangasiidae.
UCCCUGGAGGACUAGUGGUCAGGCCUCGGCGCUCUCACCGCCGCGGCCCGGGUUAGAUUCCCAGCCAGGGAC